Molecule: ribosomal RNA, 454 nt
Filed under: uncultured bacterium
Lineage: Bacteria
Description: bacterial SSU rRNA
Rfam family: Bacterial small subunit ribosomal RNA
Source: RNAcentral
UACGGAAGGUAGCAGUGGGGAAUAUUGCACAAUGGGCGCAAGCCUGAUGCAGCCAUGCCGCGUGUAUGAAGAAGGCCUUCGGGUUGUAAAGUACUUUCAGUCGUGAGGAAGGUGUUAAGGUUAAUAACCUUAGCAAUUGACGUUAGCGACAGAAGAAGCACCGGCUAACUCCGUGCCAGCAGCCGCGGUAAUACGGAGGGUGCGAGCGUUAAUCGGAAUUACUGGGCGUAAAGGGCACGCAGGCGGUUAAUUAAGUUGGAUGUGAAAUCCCCGGGCUUAACCUGGGAAUGGCAUUCAAGACUGGUUAGCUAGAGUCUUGUAGAGGGGGUAGAAUUCCAUGUGUAGCGGUGAAAUGCGUAGAGAUGUGGAGGAAUACCGGUGGCGAAGGCGGCCCCUGGGACAAAGACUGACGCUCAUGUGCGAAAGCGUGGGGAGCAAACAGGGAUUAGAUACC